RNAcentral lists this long non-coding RNA (4955 nucleotides) under Anolis carolinensis (green anole). RNAcentral's name for it is "lncRNA (ENSACAG00000039174.1)". Lineage: Eukaryota; Metazoa; Chordata; Lepidosauria; Squamata; Anolidae. The record is from RNAcentral.
AAUGUUAUGUGGGGGUUUGUAGGUAGAUCUAAAGAUCAUACAUCCCCCUUAAAUAAUGGAAAUAUCUAUGCUUUGAGUGGAAACUGAAACAUAUCCACCAUGUCUUUGAGAUGCUUUUUCAAGGCUGAAAUGAUUUUUCUCAGAUCUGCCAACAAUAGAUGUGCCAAAAACAUCAAUUUAGAUGGUUUAUAAUUUACAUAGGUGUGAAGUAAACAAAGAGGCAAUGUUUUUGCUAAAGGCUAAAAGACAAGAAAGCAAGAAAUGUGAAAGUACGAGGGUUAUCCAGAUAAAAGUGUUUGAAACCCCCCCCCCCUAAGAUUUCCGCCUGGCUUGCAUCCUGAACCAGGCUGGUUUCCCUUCCCUCAGCUGUCAAAUGGUGAGCUCAGCUUUCCGAUCGCUCUUCCUCGAUCGCUCUUUUGUUUUGCAGAUGCUUGCAAAGAAGGUGCUCUUUUAAGGUUUUUCAAGAAGCACACCUUUCCUGUCCCAAAAAACCUUCCUUGCAAGCAUCUGCAAAACAAAAGAGCGAUCGGAAAGCUGAGCUCACCAUUUGACAGCUGAGCGAAGGGAAACCAGCCUGGUUCAGGACGCAAGCUAGGUGGAAAUCUUGGGGUGGGGGGGGCUUUUCAAACACUUUUAUCACUAUGAUAGCUACCUAGAUUUCAGUGGGGACUAUGGUGAAAACUAGUAUUUGGGUCUGGCUUUCAACUGAAUAUGGUAAAUGUUUUCUCCUAUACUUUGUUUAUUUUUAAUUCCAAAACGUACUGAACUUUCUGGAUAGCCCUCGUAUAUGACGUCUACUGUAAGAAUUGCCCUAUGAAGGCUCAGGAAAUGCUUUGCAGUAGUGUUGAUACCUAUACCUGACACUUGCAUUUUGUCUAUUGAUGGAUUUGGGAGAUUUCUUAAAUUGUUACUUUAUGCUUUCAGAUUAACUUUUUGAAGACAGAAAUGGAGAGAAAAAGCAAAAUGAUCAGGGAUCUUCAAAAUGAGGGAGCUUGGAUUUGUGGAAUGGGGUUAAGGAAGCAGGCACCAACAUACUCUCAAAUAGAAGGGAAGAAGCCAUGCCCAGCAGCCACAUGGGCUGUUUCAGGCAAAACAAACAUUGUGUCUGCGCCUUUGCCAUUACCACCAUCUGGAGAAACCAAACAAGUUGAAGAAGCCAAAGGAAAACAGCUAAAACGGAUGCAUGCACAAGUUUAGAGAAUAUGUUUUUCAAAGUCGUACAUGAGCUUUGAUUGAGGACAAAACUAAUCAUGCUACAAUAUAAUAAACCUUAUUUUCUUUUUUAUGGCAAGAUUUUUGUGGACACUUAAGGGGGCAUGUAUGAAUUCUGUAUUCUCUUCAAAAUGAUAUUGUAGUUAUUUUACACUGCCUCACAGUACCAGACCCACCUGCACCAAACAGCUUGAAGCAAUUUAUCAUUGCAGAAGGAGCCACUUUCACUGGGUAAUAGACGGGAACAAGUUAAAAUGUGUGUGAAACAAGAUGCUAUGUGCUGUCAUUACCCAAAAAUUGUGUAAAAUACACAUAAGGGAAUUCAAAUGUAAACAGUGCAUGAUAAUAACUUUUGUUCAGUCCUUCGUAAAAACAUUGAUUCAAAUAAAAUGUGUCUAAUUUACAGAUCAAACUUUCAGAGUUUCCAUUAGGUGCUGGACCUAAAUCUCGCUUUAUGUAUAGAAUUCAGUUAACAUUCUAUUUCAGUUGCCAAGAUGUUUUAAAUGCAUAAUUUCACAAUAUUCUAUUACUAGUUAAUAGUAAAUUUACAUUAUUAAAUGCAUAAUGUUUUGAGUUUCAUAUAUUUACAGUUAGUUGCCAGUGAAAGUUUAUACUGGGGUUGUUGUAUGUAUUCCGGGCUGUAUGGCCAUGUUCUAGAAGUAUUCUCUCCUGACGUUUCGCCCACAUCUAUGGCAGGCAUCCUCAGAGGUUGCCUGCCAUAGAUGUGGGCGAAACAUCAGGAGAAAUACUUCUAGAACAUAGCCACACAGCCCGGAAUACAUACAACAACCCUGUGAUCCGGGCCAUGAAAGCCUUCGACAACACAAAGUUUAUAUUGUUUAAAACUUUUGAAAUUUGCUUCUAUGUUCAUUUUCUAGAUUCAGUAUGCUGCAUGGCAAACUAAUGGAUGUCUUUUUCCUUUCCUACCACUACAAAUUUUCAAACUAAAAUAGUCACUACUUUUUACAUUUGUCUUCUUUUCUGAAAUAUAUUUUUCCAUUCUGUAAAAAACAGAACCAGGUUAUCCAACUUAGGGCUGGAAUCCUGUUGGUGAACUACACUAGUGUUUGCACUUUUUUCAAGGUGACAAGGGAAGCCAGACAAAAUCUACAAGCUCCAGGUAGCCUAGGUCUCCAGUUCCUUAUUUCAUUCAUUGCCAUGGCACAGUCAACCUUUCCCCUUUCUACUUUCUACCAUGGUGUAGUUUCAGUGGUAGCAGCAAAAAGGGCAGAACAGCAGGGGAGAUAAAUGGUGAAAAAAAAAUUAAAGCAUGCAUUCAGAGUUAUGUUAGCCUCUGUCCACACAACAUAUUUUCCUCCUUUCAUUCCCCAUAAUAAGAUCAUCCUUUCUACCAAAGAAAUUUGAAUUUUCCAGACUUUCCAUACUUCAGACAGCCAGAGUGGAUUGGAAUAGGGUCCAUGAUGGAAGGACUUCCACCAACUGUCAGAUCGCUGCAUAUUGGGUGUAAUUGGUUACUUAGAUCAAAAUACAUAUAUUUGAAUUCACGAAAGCUUUCUAAAUUCAAUCAGUUUGUGGUAUUACCUUGGAAUUUACUUUUCGUCUGAAAUCACUUGAAAAGAAAUAAUUGUGUUUGUCAUUGUCUUCAUGGCUCUUGGGUGAAGGACAGGAGGUGAGGUUGUGCUUUCUUCUUCUCUGUACUCAUAUGAUUUUGAUGUAACUUCCACUACUUCUAAGAAUCCAAUUGGAGUUAUAAAACCAAACAAAAAACAAGAACAUAUUUGAAAUAGAUUUGUAUUUUAUGAUGUUAUCUUCAUCUGUAUCUGAGGACUAUUUUUUCAAAAAAAAAACAACAAAAAAAACCGAGUUCUUAAGAUAUAGCUUUUUGUCUUUUGUCAAUGGUUGUUCAAUCAUUCCAUUCUAUUAGGCACUAUUUUUGUGAUUUCUUCUGUCUACACUGUGAUGCUUUCAGACGUUUGCUUAAAACAGGAUGUAAUUUGUGAUAUGUGUUUGUGACCUCAAAGACAAUUUUCUCUCAUUUUUUCUUUACCCCCCCCCCCGGGUCUUUGGGUUGUAAUAUUUAAAAUAAAAAAGGAGUAGAUGUGAAAGAAACAUAUUGCUCCAAUCUGCGUCAACAUUAAAGAGAGAUACACUUGAGGAUGGUAAUAGAAUGUUGCACUAGUGAUAGGAAUAGCCAGAAAAUAUUCCAGAAUGACAGGAUUACAGAAGUAUCAUAUUGACUGUUUUUUUAAAAAAAAGAAAAGAAAAGAAGAGUUACAGCAAUAAAAGCCAUAGCCUUUUAAAACAUUUACCACAUCUGAAGGAUUCUGUUAAAUCUUGAAAGCCAAAUUGAACCCCAGGCUUGGAGGAAAGGAGGAAGAGAAAGAGAAACUGUUAUUCACCCCAACUCUCUUUGUGCCUUUCUCUAAAUAGUUGAAGAUUUAUAAUAGACUUAUGUUUUCCAAUAUGAUAGUUUUGCUUUAAUUUUUAAUAUAGUAUGAAAAUUUGAUAGGUUGAUAGACUCUGAAUUGUUCUGAACUCAGGGCCAGUUCUACCUCUCGACAGAUUGAGGACAAAUAGGUUUGAACAUGGUAAGAGCAGGAAGCUAUUUCUUUGUUGUUAAUACGUUACUGCUAUAAGAACUUGAAAAAGUGUAUUGGGAUUUAGUCUGCAUUGGGUGCAGAAGAUCUGUUUGCUGGUCCCAGAUGGUGAGGCCAAUUAAAUUGGGGUCAGGGAACCCAUGUCUGAUGCAGAGAGAUGGAGGGGUAAGGACCAAGCCUAUUUAAGGGCUGCUCCAGCCCCUUGUCUUCCUCUUGGAUAUUUGUUGACUCACUCUCCUGUCCCCUUUCACAGUUUAAAUAUGCUGGUUGCUUCAGGGCCAGGUUUUUCCCAUUCCUUAAGAGUUUUUCACCUACCUUAGAUGCAAGACUUUACAAUUGGCUAAGGGUGGUGCCUUAAAUAUGACCCUAUUUACAGGGGGGGGGGGGGGUUGGAAGAGAAUUAAAUUUGGUGAACACCUUUGACACUGUUUUUAAUGUAGGAUGGGAACCCAGAUCUGCCCAUGGAUAUGAUGUGAUCACGGAGUAUUGACAGUUACUGUCCUUGCUUGGAGUUGUUCUCUGGGUUUUUGCCCCCUCCAGUCAUCAGUCAAUCAGCAAAUAGGAUUGUCUACAUGAGCAUUUUCUCCUUUAUAUGAAACCUAUCCAUGUUUCCUUGUAUUGAUGAUCUCAUUCAUAUAAUUUCAGAAACAUUUGUACUCAGCCCUGAUGGUUAGUUUGCCCCUAGGAAAAUCCACUUCCAGGAAAGGAUUUUUGAUCAGAGGAACAGAUGGGCCUGAAUUAUGCAUAACAAAUUUAGGGUGUUACCACCUAGAGGGCUCUGACUCUUAGCAUCUGGGGUUCUGUGAUAGAUGACGUGCUCAGAAUUGUAUGAGGGAAGAAUGAAGAAAUGUAAUUGUUUCACUCUGGAGGUCUCUCAUUCACAGAGUUGCCAUACAUCAAAGCUGACUUGACAGUGAAUAACAACAAGAAUUGUUUCACCUUAUUGUCAUCACCUAUCUGUCCUAAUGAGUGCUUAUACAUUUUUUUUCCUGUCUGGUAGUUUAAAUAUCCCCAUAUACAGUUGCAGCCACAUGUUUAUAUCUCCAGAAACAAAUAUUUGGUAGCCAUGUGAUGGUUUUAUUUCUUUAUUUUUUCUUUAAUCAAGAGUUAAGUGGGCAGAUGUUUAGGAUUGUAGCUAUCAUGGACUAACUUUUGGGCAUGCUGGAAAUGAAUUUGUGCCAUUUC